This 321-nucleotide ribosomal RNA is filed under the name uncultured eukaryote. RNAcentral describes it as "partial 18S ribosomal RNA". It matches the Rfam family "Eukaryotic small subunit ribosomal RNA", at positions 1470 to 1796 of the family's 1831-position model. The record is from RNAcentral.
CCCUUAGAUGUUCUGGGCCGCACGCGCGCUACACUGAUGAACGCAACGAGACCACCUGUACCGAAAGGCAUGGGUAAACUUGUGAAAGUUCAUCGUGAUGGGGAUAGAUUAUUGCAAUUAUUAAUCUUCAACGAGGAAUUCCUAGUAAGCGCGAGUCAUCAGCUCGCGUUGAUUACGUCCCUGCCCUUUGUACACACCGCCCGUCGCUCCUACCGAUUGAAUGGUCCGGUGAAAUCUUCGGAUUGUUGGAUAGGACUUCAUUGACCUAUCUGCGAGAAGUUGCUUGAACCUUAUCAUUUAGAGGAAGGAGAAGUCGUAACA